RNAcentral lists this transfer RNA (86 nucleotides) under Candidatus Dojkabacteria bacterium. RNAcentral's name for it is "tRNA-Leu". It matches the Rfam family "tRNA". Rfam says of the family: Transfer RNA (tRNA) molecules are approximately 80 nucleotides in length. The record is from RNAcentral.
GCCGAGGUGGUGGAAUUGGCAGACACGCAUGGCUUAGGACCAUGUCUCAUUAACUUGAGGUGCAGGUUCAACUCCUGUCCUCGGCA